This 779-nucleotide long non-coding RNA is filed under the name Citrus sinensis (sweet orange). Its description in RNAcentral is "long non-coding RNA (CSIN_LNC005707)". The record is from RNAcentral. Lineage: Eukaryota; Viridiplantae; Streptophyta; Magnoliopsida; Sapindales; Rutaceae.
AAAAAAAAAAAGUAAAUAAUAAUAACCCUCUUUUUUCUUUUCCACUUCCCAGCAAUUACUUUUUACUUAUCUUCCAGUUCUUCCGAAUCACAGCCAUCAUUUGAUGAUCAGCAUCAUCAUAAGAAAGAACAGAAAUCACAGCAAAACUUAAAAACCCAUAUGAUCACACAAACUCAUUAAGUAAAGCUCUCGAGUUCCACAGGAACUAAUACACAAGUUGGCAAACACAAUCAAGCAUCAAUCCCACACACAGUAUCAACAAUCAUUACCAAUAAAAAGAACUGAAAAAAAUAAAAAAAAAAGUACCUGAAAAUCCCCAUAACCCAGGUAAGAGCUGCGCCGGUCGUGGGGAGCAGAGAGGGUAUGAAUUUGAAAACACGGAGACAAACAAAGGAAAGCAAUCCCAAUAAUAUAUUUUAUCUUGUAAACAGAACAAACCACCUUAUGAUUGGAACACUGACACCAAUCCAAAAAUAAUAACAAUAAAAUCAAAAUGAUUUGGAUAAAAUAAUAAUGCAACUUAUAACAACUCCUACUACUAUUACAGAUAUUAUUAUAUCAUAUGAAGUUUUAAUUAAGCUUGUCAAUUAUUCUUAAGAAUCUCAUUCUCACGUGUGAAAUGAAAGUAGAACGUUCUUUCAACAACAACAAGUGGCGAAAGCAGAAGGUGGUGGUUGUUGGUUUUCUUGCUUAAGAGUGUUCAUUAGACCUAACCACCAGUUGGUGAACCUGUAACCCGCGCUUAAGCCUUCUUUUAACGCUUAAUACUUGGCGCUUCU